This is a long non-coding RNA of Drosophila innubila, 249 nucleotides long. RefSeq lists it as uncharacterized. The transcript is spliced from 2 exons. The record is from RefSeq and is a predicted model, not a curated record. Lineage: Eukaryota; Metazoa; Arthropoda; Insecta; Diptera; Drosophilidae.
UAGUUUUAACAAUGUAAUAUAAUUUAUCAAUUUAACUAAAACAUGGUCAAUAACGUAGCGGAUCAAAUUAGCUGUUAGCCAUUGUAGGAGUCAGGUCAAGUCAUAGUAUCAAUGCUCUUAGCCUUAAGGUCAACCCAGAGGAUUCCAGUUUAAUGGUCAAGCCCUAUUUGAUUUCCAAGUCGGAUACUUUUUUGAAAGAGCUUUUUGAAGAUUCUGCCACUAUAAUAAUAAAAAUAAUUAAAUCUCACA